CCUGGCGGCUGUAGCGCGGUGGUCCCACCUGACCCCAUGCCGAACUCAGAAGUGAAACGCCGUAGCGCCGAUGGUAGUGUGGGGUCUCCCCAUGCGAGAGUAGGG
This 105-nucleotide ribosomal RNA is filed under the name Citrobacter freundii. The record is from RNAcentral. Lineage: Bacteria; Pseudomonadati; Pseudomonadota; Gammaproteobacteria; Enterobacterales; Enterobacteriaceae. RNAcentral also lists the same sequence under 3 other names.